RNAcentral lists this microRNA precursor (59 nucleotides) under Petromyzon marinus (sea lamprey). RNAcentral describes it as "Pma-Mir-338-o3_pre stem-loop". It matches the Rfam family "mir-338 microRNA precursor family", at positions 6 to 65 of the family's 69-position model. Lineage: Eukaryota; Metazoa; Chordata; Hyperoartia; Petromyzontiformes; Petromyzontidae. The record is from RNAcentral.
AACAACAUCCUGGUGCUGCCGAGUGGCACCUGAGACUCCAGCAUCAGUGAUUUUGUUGC